This 446-nucleotide ribosomal RNA is filed under the name uncultured bacterium. RNAcentral's name for it is "partial 16S ribosomal RNA". It matches the Rfam family "Bacterial small subunit ribosomal RNA", at positions 354 to 796 of the family's 1533-position model. The record is from RNAcentral.
GUAAGGAAUAUUGGUCAAUGGGGGCAACCCUGAACCAGCCAUGCCGCGUGAAGGAUGAAGGCGUUAUGCGUUGUAAACUUCUUUUGUAUGGGAAGAAUGACAGGGAUUUAUCCUUGGAGAGACGGUACCAUACGAAUAAGCACCGGCUAACUCCGUGCCAGCAGCCGCGGUAAUACGGAGGGUGCAAGCGUUAUCCGGAAUCACUGGGUUUAAAGGGUACGUAGGCGGUUAAUUAAGUCAGUAGUGAAAGACUGUCGCUCAACGACGGAUGUGCUAUUGAUACUGGUUAACUUGAAUCAGGUUAGAGUUGGCGGAAUGGGUCAUGUAGCGGUGAAAUGCUUAGAUAUGCUACGGAACACCGAUUGCGAAGGCAGCUUACUAUUUCGUAAUUGACGCUGAGGCACGAAAGCGUGGGUAGCGAACAGGAUUAGAAACCCCUGUAGUCC